CCUCUGGAGAAUCCCGGUUACCCGGGUGCCGAAGGGGCAAGGAGCGCGCGCCGCUCCGAAACUCUCAGGCCAAAGGACAGAGCGA
Molecule: non-coding RNA, 85 nt
Filed under: human gut metagenome
Description: Glycine riboswitch
Rfam family: Glycine riboswitch aptamer
About the family: This family represents the bacterial glycine riboswitch. Glycine riboswitches usually consist of two metabolite-binding aptamers domains with similar structures in tandem.
Source: RNAcentral